GGGUUUAAGGGUUUUUUAUUUGUUUUUGUGGGUUUUUUUUUUUUUUUUUUUUUUGGUCUUUUUUUGAGAGUUCUCUAGAGAGUUCAGUGAGCAGGGGUGUAUGUACAGGUAAGCUCUGAAGGUUUAAUAAUGCACAAAGUACACAAAACUUAUUUGGAAUUGAGUGCAGGCAAGGCCUGGCAUAGAGGAAAGGUCUGGAAUUCUGACAGAUCUGGGUUGUAAGUAUAAAGAGGGUUGAGGGUCUCUACAAAAUGUCUGAAGGUUGAGGGAGCUCUGAUUCUGUCUGUAGUUCUGCUUUAUGCAGUAGAUAAACUACAGAGUACCUGAGGGGAACCUCCAAGAGACCUGGAGAGGGACUUUGGACAAGGGCAUGCAGUGACAGGACAGGGGGGAAUGGCUUUGCAGUGACUGAGAGCAGCUUGAGCUCCCACAUGAGGAGGAAGUUCCUGGCUGUAAAGGGUGGGCAGGCCCUGGCACAGGGUGCACACAGAGGCUGUGGCUGCUCCUGGAUCCCUGGAAGUGUCCAAGGCCAGGUUGGACAGGGCUUGGAGCACCCUGGGACAGUGGAAUCUGUCCCUGCCUGUGCCAGGGGGGUUUGAAUUGGAUGAUGUUUUUAAGAUUCCUUGCAACCCAAACCAUUCUCUGACCUAAAUGUUAACAGAAGUUCCAAAAUUCUGUUUGAAUGUCUGAUCUCUCUGUGGAAUCUGUCGGGCAAAUCCUGCCUUGGAUUGUGAGCUUUCCUGAGGCACGGUUUGUAUCUCUGUACUGAGUGUAGAACCAUUCAAUAAAUACCAGUUUGUGAUUAAACUAAUCAGUCUUGUUUCUGAUUUCUAGCAUAAAAAUCCAGCCCCUGUGGAUGUAGCUGUUACAGCCAGCACAAUUAGGAGGCUCAUGGCACAUCACCCACCGAGCUGCUGUGAGCAGGACUUUAUUUCUGUAUAGCCAGUGAGCAGGAGAGGUGACUUGUUCUUUUAUGGUAUUUUAAGCAGCUGAGAAUGCCCAGUGGGCAGCACAGCACAAAUGGUCUCACACAGCUUAGGGAUGAUGUCUGUUGUCAUAGAAUGAGAACACUGUGCUUUUGGCAAGGCAGGAAAAAAGUCUUAAUUUUGGUUUAAAUAUUUUUUCAUUGGAAUAGGAACUUCAGGACUCAAGAGUUGCUGUGUGGUGGUGGUAUUUUGUGUCCUAAAUGUCAUUGUUAAGCAGCCCUGAAACUUGAAGCCACGCUGGCUGUGCUGGAUCUUUGCACUGUGCCCCAUCCCCCUGUGCAAACCCUUACAGGGCAGCUGUGGAAAGGAGUGGAAGAAAUGAGCAGUGGAGGUCACUUAGGUGAGCCUUUAUCAUGGCCUGCUGUGUUAACUGCACCAAACUAACAGCUGAGAAGCUCUAGAGUGGGACAAUCACAGUAAGUCACUUUAGUAUCUAAUCUCUUUGUAAACAUACAUGCUGUGAGGGAGAAACAUUUCAUUUUUAGAUCACUGUUCAAAGCAGCAGUUCUUGUUUUAUCUGUACUUUGUUAGUACCAAAGGUCUUGUAGAUGCAGCAUGGGAGAUUUGCCUGGGGAAAUACAUUUGAGGCUUAACUUGAGCAAAUUAAAGGCUUCUUAAUUUAAAAACAAUUAAAAGCAUUAAGGCACUCUAAGCAUGACACUGGUCAUUGGUCACAUGGAAUUCUAAGUGAUGGCUGUAAGUAAAUUAGUAAAAAUAAUACACUUAAACCCUUGAAAAUGUGUUUGGUGCAUUAGUUGCAGAAUAUACAGAAAUCUUGCCCAAAGUCUUCCAUACAUGUGGCACUUGAUAAGAAAAAGCAAAUUUAGGAAUGUCUGUGUCUUACAGGUCUCUUUAUAAGAACAGCAGAGUAACUGUUGAAUGUAUCACGUGGCUUCCUUCAGAUCACAGAUAAAGGAAAAAGAUUUCUGGGAUAAGACUGCAGGUUCACAUUGGGGACGAUAGUUGCAGCUGUCCUGGGGAAGUCAUGCAGUGUUGCAAAACAACUGCACAGCACUGCAGGGAAGCUGAAGAUUUGUGCAGCAGCUUUAAUUUAAAUGUGGCAAAGCAUUCUGUCAUCACCUGCAAUCAAGUGAUCAGCCUGUCUUUCAAAACUUGAAGUAGGUGCUUGAAGUCUAAUGAGAAUUUAGUUACUGUUCUGGGUAGCAGUGCUCACAGGGCUGCUGAAGGAGUGUUCUUACAUAUUUUUCAAAACAACACUGAAUGCCAGCAGUAAAGGGGAAGGAUCAGAUCUUUACAUCUACCUGUCAUUAGUUCUCUUUCAGGUUUUCUGAAUAACAUUUUUCAUGGCAGGCACCAGACAGUGGUUAGCACCACAAAUGUAUCCUGUGCAUGUACACAGUGCAUGAUCAGUGCAUCAACCUUUCCACUGUUGUAAACUUAAAUUUUUUAAAUCCCUAUGCUUUUUAACUGGCUUCCAAAUUAUCUCUGCACCAUGCAGCCUGUUCUCCUGGCUUCUGAGGUGUAAACCUUAUUCCUGAUUUAAAUUCUUUAUCUGUGAAAAUUUUGAUUUUUUUAAGGAGAGAAAAAAAUUUUUUACAGGAUUGAAGGAGUGGUUUUGUCAGUAAAUAGAGUCAGUUACCCAUCUACAGAUUAAAUACAUUUUAUAUGCUUGAAAUAAACUUAAAUGGAAAACAUUUAAACCUA
Molecule: long non-coding RNA, 2651 nt
Organism: Catharus ustulatus (Swainson's thrush)
Lineage: Eukaryota; Metazoa; Chordata; Aves; Passeriformes; Turdidae
Exons: 2
Source: RefSeq, a predicted model, not a curated record